RNAcentral lists this ribosomal RNA (244 nucleotides) under uncultured bacterium. Its description in RNAcentral is "partial 16S ribosomal RNA". It matches the Rfam family "Bacterial small subunit ribosomal RNA", at positions 29 to 301 of the family's 1533-position model. The record is from RNAcentral.
AACGAACGCUGGCGGCAUGCCUAACACAUGCAAGUCGAACGAGACCUUCGGGUCUAGUGGCGCACGGGUGCGUAACACGUGGGAAUCUGCCCUUGGGUUCGGAAUAACAGUUGGAAACGACUGCUAAUACCGGAUGAUGACGUAAGUCCAAAGAUUUAUCGCCCAAGGAUGAGCCCGCGUCGGAUUAGCUAGUUGGUGGGGUAAAGGCCUACCAAGGCGACGAUCCGUAGCUGGUCGAGAGGAC